AGUGUCGGCCGGCACAAA
RNAcentral lists this unclassified non-coding RNA (18 nucleotides) under Chlamydomonas reinhardtii. RNAcentral describes it as "small RNA Cre_0642". Lineage: Eukaryota; Viridiplantae; Chlorophyta; Chlorophyceae; Chlamydomonadales; Chlamydomonadaceae. The record is from RNAcentral.